RNAcentral lists this ribosomal RNA (828 nucleotides) under Triticum aestivum (bread wheat). RNAcentral describes it as "partial small subunit ribosomal RNA". Lineage: Eukaryota; Viridiplantae; Streptophyta; Magnoliopsida; Poales; Poaceae. The record is from RNAcentral.
AUGUCUGGACUGGAAGUAAACUUCCAGAAGAGCGAGAUCCUGACUGUCGGAGGGGAUGCUGACAUUGAUAGCAAGUAUGCCGAGGUCUUUAACUGCGAAAUCAGGCACUUUCCAAUUAAAUAUCUUGGUAUGCCUGUGAGUUUCACAACCCUUAAAAAUUUAGUGUGGGAGUUUAUCGUAGAUAAAUACCUUAAGUGUUUCGGGUCCUGGAUUGGUAAUGCUGCAUCUAGCGGGGGCAAACUUACUUUGCUUACCUUGGUACUAUCGCAGUUAUCUCUAUAUCAUAUGUCCAUGUGGCUUAUGAGUAAAACUUUCAUAGAAAGGCUGGACAAGCACCGUCGUAAGUUUUUCUGGCACGGCUGCAAUAAGAAGAAUAGAUAUUACCUGGUCAAAUGGAAGAGGGUGUGUAGAUCGAAGGGCAAAGGGGGUCUAGGUGUCAAAGACCUCAGGAAACAAAACAUCAGCCUGCUGGUGAAAUGGUGGUGGAAAUUAGAAACCCAAACUGGGGUUUGGCAAAACUUGGUGAGAGCCAAAUAUUUACAAAACAAAACGGUAGCAACUGUACAACCUAGACAAUCUGAUUCCCCAUGCUCGAAAUCUCUUCUGAAAGUCAGGGAGUUGUACAUGAUGGGGAGAAAAAUUAAGCUAGGAUGCGGCAACCUGACCAGGGUGUGGAAAGACUCAAUUGAUGGGCUGCCCGCACUCAAUUCGAGGUUCCCUCGGCUGUUUGAGAUCUGUACAGACCAGGAUUGUACAGUCCAAAACUUUAACAGGAUAGAGGCUUCGACCUUUUUUAGAAGGCGUUUAUGCCCUGAUCUAAGAGAACAG